RNAcentral lists this ribosomal RNA (503 nucleotides) under uncultured bacterium. RNAcentral describes it as "partial 16S ribosomal RNA". It matches the Rfam family "Bacterial small subunit ribosomal RNA", at positions 30 to 523 of the family's 1533-position model. The record is from RNAcentral.
AUUGAACGCUGGCGGCAGGCUUAACACAUGCAAGUCGAGCGGGGUGAUGGUGCUUGCACUAUCACUUAGCGGCGGACGGGUGAGUAAUGCUUAGGAAUCUGCCUAUUAGUGGGGGACAACAUCUCGAAAGGGAUGCUAAUACCGCAUACGUCCUACGGGAGAAAGCAGGGGAUCACCUGUGACCUUGCGCUAAUAGAUGAGCCUAAGUCGGAUUAGCUAGUUGGUGGGGUAAAGGCCUACCAAGGCGACGAUCUGUAGCGGGUCUGAGAGGAUGAUCCGCCACACUGGGACUGAGACACGGCCCAGACUCCUACGGGAGGCAGCAGUGGGGAAUAUUGGACAAUGGGGGGAACCCUGAUCCAGCCAUGCCGCGUGUGUGAAGAAGGCCUUAUGGUUGUAAAGCACUUUAAGCGAGGAGGAGGCUCUUUUGGUUAAUACCCAAGAUGAGUGGACGUUACUCGCAGAAUAAGCACCGGCUAACUCUGUGCCAGCCGCCGCAGUAA